AGCCUAGUGGACAUGGCAUCUGCCCGGUAAGCGGAACACUGUGGGUUCGAUUCCCAU
Molecule: transfer RNA, 57 nt
Filed under: Cordylochernes scorpioides
Lineage: Eukaryota; Metazoa; Arthropoda; Arachnida; Pseudoscorpiones; Chernetidae
Description: tRNA-Thr
Rfam family: tRNA
About the family: Transfer RNA (tRNA) molecules are approximately 80 nucleotides in length. Their secondary structure includes four short double-helical elements and three loops (D, anti-codon, and T loops).
Source: RNAcentral